This 254-nucleotide ribosomal RNA is filed under the name uncultured bacterium. RNAcentral describes it as "partial 16S ribosomal RNA". It matches the Rfam family "Bacterial small subunit ribosomal RNA", at positions 524 to 776 of the family's 1533-position model. The record is from RNAcentral.
UACGGGGGGAGCAAGCGUUGUUCGGAUUUACUGGGCGUAAAGGGCGCGUAGGCGGUCGUGACAAGUCACUUGUGAAAUCUCCGGGCUUAACUCGGAACGGUCAAGUGAUACUGUCGGACUAGAGUACAGAAGGGGCAACUGGAAUUCUCGGUGUAGCGGUGAAAUGCGUAGAUAUCGAGAGGAACACCUGCGGCGAAGGCGACUUCUUGGCCUGUUCUUGACGCUGAGGCGCGAAAGCUGGGGGAGCAAACGGG